GACGAACGCUGGCGGCGUGCUUAACACAUGCAAGUCAAACGGAAAGGCCCUGCUUUUGUGGGUUGCUCGAGUGGCGAACGGUUGAGUAACACGUGAGUAACCUGCCCUUGACUUGGGGAUAACUUCGGGAAACUGGGGCUAAUACCGGAUAUGAGCUCCUGCUGCAUGGUGGGGGUUGGAAAGUUUCGGCGGUUGGGGAUGGACUCGCGGCUUAUCAGCUUGUUGGUCGGGUAGUGGCUUACCAAGGCUUUGACGGGUAGCCGGCCUGAGGGGGUGACCGGCCAGAUUGGGACUGGGAUACGGCCCAGACUACUACGGGAGGCAGCAGUGGGGAAGAUUGCACAAUGGGCGGAAGCCUGAUGCAGCAACGCGGCGUGCGGGAUGAUGGCCUUCGGGUUGUAAACCGCUUUCGCCUGUGACGAAGCGUGAGUGACGGUAAUGGGUAAAGAAGCACCGGCUAACUACGUG
Molecule: ribosomal RNA, 468 nt
Filed under: uncultured bacterium
Lineage: Bacteria
Description: partial 16S ribosomal RNA
Rfam family: Bacterial small subunit ribosomal RNA
Source: RNAcentral